GGGGAGUGAAAAAGAACCUGAAACCGUGUACGUACAAGCAGUGGGAGCACAGGUUUACCUGUGUGACUGCGUACCUUUUGUAUAAUGGGUCAGCGACUUAUAUUCUGUAGCAAGGUUAACCGAAUAGCCAAGGCGCACAGCCUGACGCGUCAGCGAAAAGACGCCGGAAAUGACCGCCUGGGAGGCGAUCACCGUCGCCAGCGCGGCCAGAAUCAGCAGCGGAAUUAACGCCCAGUCCGGCGCCAACAGGAAGAAGGGGUUUUUAA
RNAcentral lists this ribosomal RNA (266 nucleotides) under Salmonella enterica subsp. enterica serovar Kentucky. RNAcentral describes it as "partial 23S ribosomal RNA". It matches the Rfam family "Bacterial large subunit ribosomal RNA", at positions 533 to 760 of the family's 2925-position model. Lineage: Bacteria; Pseudomonadati; Pseudomonadota; Gammaproteobacteria; Enterobacterales; Enterobacteriaceae. The record is from RNAcentral.